UUAAUUUUUCAAAAUUUUUAGAGGAGUCAGAUUACAUCAGCAGCUGUUGAACCCACAGAUGAUGAGUGUGAUUUUCCUUCUGAUACAGAAAAAGAUGAAGAUGAUCUUUGUGAUGACAUGAAAAAGAAGACUGCUUUGGAAGAUAAAGCUGAUGAAAUUAAUGAAGGAAAAGAUGAAAAUGAAAAUAUCAACGGGAUCCCAGAAUUUUGGUUAACAAUUUUUAAAAAUGUAGAAAUGUUAGCUGAAA
Centruroides sculpturatus (bark scorpion) is the source of this 247-nucleotide long non-coding RNA. RefSeq lists it as uncharacterized. The record is from RefSeq and is a predicted model, not a curated record. The transcript has 3 exons. Lineage: Eukaryota; Metazoa; Arthropoda; Arachnida; Scorpiones; Buthidae.